ACCGAGAAAAAUCACAAGGACUGCUAAACCCCAUUCCCGUACCUAAAACUACGGUUUUC
Molecule: transfer RNA, 59 nt
Filed under: Macaca leucogenys
Lineage: Eukaryota; Metazoa; Chordata; Mammalia; Primates; Cercopithecidae
Description: tRNA-Ser
Source: RNAcentral